ACGGGGGGAGCAAACGUUGUUCGGAAUUACUGGGCGUAAAGCGCACGUAGGCGGCUUUGCAAGUUAGAGGUGAAAGCCCGGGGCUCAACCCCGGAAUUGCCUUUAAAACUGCAUCGCUAGAGUUGUGGAGAGGUAAGUGGAAUUCCGAGUGUAGAGGUGAAAUUCGUAGAUAUUCGGAAGAACACCAGUGGCGAAGGCGACUUACUGGACACAUAUUGACGCUGAGGUGCGAAAGCGUGGGGAGCAAACAGGA
Molecule: ribosomal RNA, 253 nt
Filed under: uncultured prokaryote
Description: partial 16S ribosomal RNA
Rfam family: Bacterial small subunit ribosomal RNA
Source: RNAcentral